GCCUCGGUGGUGUAGUGGUAGCAUGCGCACUCCGUAUGGAUGAAACUCGGGUUCAACUCCCGUCUGAGAUC
Parelaphostrongylus tenuis is the source of this 71-nucleotide non-coding RNA. Lineage: Eukaryota; Metazoa; Nematoda; Chromadorea; Rhabditida; Metastrongylidae. The record is from the annotation of a GenBank genome assembly.